RNAcentral lists this ribosomal RNA (493 nucleotides) under uncultured bacterium. RNAcentral describes it as "partial 16S ribosomal RNA". It matches the Rfam family "Bacterial small subunit ribosomal RNA", at positions 28 to 507 of the family's 1533-position model. The record is from RNAcentral.
GACGAACGCUGGCGGCGUGCUUAACACAUGCAAGUCGAACGGUGAAGGGACCGGUUUUUGCUGGUUCUGGCUGAGUGGCGAACGGGUGAGUAACACGUGAGUAACCUGCCCCCUUCUUCUGGAUAACCGCAUGAAAGUGUGGCUAAUACGGGAUAUUCUGCGCCUGCUGCAUGGUGGGUGUGGGAAAGAUAUUGUUUCGGUGGGGGAUGGGCUCGCGGCCUAUCAGCUUGUUGGUGGGGUGAUGGCCUACCAAGGCGGUGACGGGUAGCCGGCCUGAGAGGGUGGACGGUCACACUGGGACUGAGACACGGCCCAGACUCCUACGGGAGGCAGCAGUGGGGAAUAUUGCACAAUGGGCGCAAGCCUGAUGCAGCGACGCCGCGUGAGGGAUGGAGGCCUUCGGGUUGUAAACCUCUUUCGCCAGUGAAGCAGGCCUGUCCCUUUUGUGGGUGGGUUGACGGUAGCUGGAUAAGAAGCGCCGGCUAACUACGUG